RNAcentral lists this ribosomal RNA (772 nucleotides) under Pedobacter sp. RNAcentral's name for it is "bacterial SSU rRNA". It matches the Rfam family "Bacterial small subunit ribosomal RNA", at positions 67 to 836 of the family's 1533-position model. The record is from RNAcentral. Lineage: Bacteria; Pseudomonadati; Bacteroidota; Sphingobacteriia; Sphingobacteriales; Sphingobacteriaceae.
CGCGAUUGGGGAGCUUGCUCCCCAUGAAAGUGGCGCACGGGUGCGUAACGCGUAUGCAACCUACCUUAAUCAGGGGGAUAGCCCGAAGAAAUUCGGAUUAACACCGCAUAACAUAACACCAUGGCAUCAUUCAGUUAUCAAAUAUUUAUAGGAUUAAGAUGGGCAUGCGUGACAUUAGUUAGUUGGUAAGGUAACGGCUUACCAAGACGACGAUGUCUAGGGGAUCUGAGAGGAUGACCCCCCACACUGGUACUGAGACACGGACCAGACUCCUACGGGAGGCAGCAGUAAGGAAUAUUGGUCAAUGGGCGAAAGCCUGAACCAGCCAUGCCGCGUGCAGGAAGACUGCCCUAUGGGUUGUAAACUGCUUUUGUCGGGGAAUAAACCUCUUUACGUGUAAAGAGCUGAAUGUACUCGAAGAAUAAGGAUCGGCUAACUCCGUGCCAGCAGCCGCGGUAAUACGGAGGAUCCAAGCGUUAUCCGGAUUUAUUGGGUUUAAAGGGUGCGUAGGCGGCUUUUUAAGUCAGGGGUGAAAGACGGUGGCUCAACCAUCGCAGUGCCUUUGAUACUGAAGAGCUUGAAUAGACCUGAGGUAGGCGGAAUGUGACAAGUAGCGGUGAAAUGCAUAGAUAUGUCACAGAACACCAAUUGCGAAGGCAGCUUACUAAAGUCUAAUUGACGCUGAGGCACGAAAGCGUGGGGAUCAAACAGGAUUAGAUACCCUGGUAGUCCACGCCCUAAACGAUGAACACUCGAUGUUAGCGAUAUACAG